AAAAAGACAAACCCUGGUUUCCGUGCCCAACAUUUGACCGUCCGUCUUAUUUAAAAAAAUUAUGAAAAAAAAUAAAAAGACAAGUCACGCAUAAAAUAUUAAUCAUGUUUUAUCAUCUAACAACAAUGAAAAUACGAAUUAUAAAAAAAUUUCAUAUAAGACGGACAGUCAAAGUUGAACAUGAAAACCCAGAGUUUAUCUUUUU
Molecule: microRNA precursor, 205 nt
Filed under: Oryza nivara
Lineage: Eukaryota; Viridiplantae; Streptophyta; Magnoliopsida; Poales; Poaceae
Description: MIR812 microRNA precursor family
Rfam family: MIR812 microRNA precursor family
Source: Rfam by way of RNAcentral